Molecule: long non-coding RNA, 655 nt
Filed under: Glycine max (soybean)
Lineage: Eukaryota; Viridiplantae; Streptophyta; Magnoliopsida; Fabales; Fabaceae
Description: long non-coding RNA (GMAX_LNC000831)
Source: RNAcentral
UCCUUAUAAAAUAAAAAUUUAUUGAAAAAUAAAUACAAAAUUAAAUAUGUAUUAAAAAUAAAAAAAACGUCUAAUCUAAAAACUGCUAUUGCCCAAACAAUUUGUCAUCCCAAUAGAUCGAAUUAAUCAAAAUGUUGUAAGUAACAACGUUUGGCUUGCAACCCUUAACAAUCAUAACAAACUUCAACCUCUCCCCGAACUUUUCAUUCUCCUUUAAUCAAAAGACCCUUCAACAACAAGUUGUGCAAAUUUAAAUGCACAAUCCACCAACCCUCAGUUACGCAUAUAUAUCCAUAACCUUCAAAGACAAAUCAAGCAUUCCCAUAGCACAAAGGAUCCCAAAAAUCCUUUGCUUUUGUUCUCUCAAAAACUCUAUUCUCAUAAAAACUAUAACGUUGAUUGCAUCGCGACGAUCUCAACAACAAUAAGCAUAGGGUUUUCAAACUUGAGCUUGUUAACUUUAGAUUAAGCGUUGAAUUCUUGCAAGGGCCGAGGGGGUGUAGUCAAAGAUAAGGCGCCAUGAGCUGGGGUCGAGGACAUCAUCAGAUUUGUGGGCAUCAGAGUCAUCAAACUCGUUCCACUCAAUGGCAGAGUUUGGAUCGAUGAACUCGUCCCACCGUCGCUUUUCUCUCUCACAAAACACUUCUCUCCCAAC